Molecule: ribosomal RNA, 465 nt
Filed under: uncultured bacterium
Lineage: Bacteria
Description: partial 16S ribosomal RNA
Rfam family: Bacterial small subunit ribosomal RNA
Source: RNAcentral
CUACGGGACGCUCCAGUAAGGAAUAUUGCGCAAUGGAGGCAACUCUGACGCAGCGACGCCGCGUGGAUGAUGAAGGCCUUCGGGUCGUAAAAUCCUGUCAGAAGGAAAGAAGUGUAUGGUAGCUAAUAUCUGCCAUACUUGACGGUACCUUCAAAGGAAGCACCGGCUAACUCCGUGCCAGCAGCCGCGGUAAUACGGAGGGUGCAAGCGUUGUUCGGAAUUACUGGGCGUAAAGCGCGCGUAGGCGGUUUUAUAAGUCAGAUGUGAAAGUCCACGGCUCAACCAUGGAAGUGCAUUUGAAACUGUAAGACUUGAGUAUUGGAGGGGGUAGUGGAAUUCCCGGUGUAGAGGUGAAAUUCGUAGAUAUCGGGAGGAAUACCGGUGGCGAAGGCGACUAUCUGGCCAAAUACUGACGCUGAGGUGCGAAAGCGUGGGGAGCAAACAGGAUUAGAUACCCGUGUAGUC